RNAcentral lists this ribosomal RNA (484 nucleotides) under uncultured bacterium. RNAcentral's name for it is "partial 16S ribosomal RNA". It matches the Rfam family "Bacterial small subunit ribosomal RNA", at positions 30 to 507 of the family's 1533-position model. The record is from RNAcentral.
AUUGAACGCUGGCGGCAGGCCUAACACAUGCGAGUCGAGCGGAUGAAGGGAGCUUGCUCCUGGAUUCAGCGGCGGACGGGUGAGUAAUGCCUAGGAAUCUGCCUGGUAGUGGGGGAUAACGUCCGGAAACGGGCGCUAAUACCGCAUACGUCCCGAGGGAGAAAGUGGGGGAUCUUCGGACCUCACGCUAUCAGAUGAGCCUAGGUCGGAUUAGCUAGUUGGUGGGGUAAAGGCCUACCAAGGCGACGAUCCGUAACUGGUCUGAGAGGAUGAUCAGUCACACUGGAACUGAGACACGGUCCAGACUCCUACGGGAGGCAGCAGUGGGGAAUAUUGGACAAUGGGCGAAAGCCUGAUCCAGCCAUGCCGCGUGUGUGAAGAAGGUCUUCGGAUUGUAAAGCACUUUAAGUUGGGAGGAAGGGCAGUAAGUUAAUACCUUGCUGUUUUGACGUUACCAACAGAAUAAGCACCGGCUAACUUCGUG